Molecule: transfer RNA, 83 nt
Filed under: bacterium
Lineage: Bacteria
Description: tRNA-Leu
Rfam family: tRNA
About the family: Transfer RNA (tRNA) molecules are approximately 80 nucleotides in length. Their secondary structure includes four short double-helical elements and three loops (D, anti-codon, and T loops).
Source: RNAcentral
GCCGGAGUGGUGAAACUGGCAGACACGCAUGGCUUAGAACCAUGUGCCUUAAUGGCUUGGAGGUUCGAGUCCUCUCUCCGGCA